GGAGAGGUGCCAGAGCGGUCGAAUGGGCCACCCUGGAAAGGUGGUAGGCUGGUAACGGUCUCGGGAGUUCGAAUCUCCCCCUCUCCG
Candidatus Wildermuthbacteria bacterium is the source of this 87-nucleotide non-coding RNA. The record is from Rfam. Lineage: Bacteria; Candidatus Wildermuthiibacteriota.